This 1971-nucleotide ribosomal RNA is filed under the name human gut metagenome. Its description in RNAcentral is "bacterial LSU rRNA". It matches the Rfam family "Bacterial large subunit ribosomal RNA", at positions 1 to 1983 of the family's 2925-position model. The record is from RNAcentral.
UUAAGUGAACAAGGGCAUACGGCGGAUGCCUUGGCGCCAAGAGCCGAUGAAGGACGCGGUAAGCUGCGAAAAGGCAUGGGUAGGAGCAAGCAUCCAGUGAUCCAUGCAUAUCCGAAUGGGGCAACCCACCAUCAGUCAUGUGAUGGUACGAAAGAGGCAGACCUGGGGAACUGAAACAUCUAAGUACCCAGAGGAAAAGUAAUCAAUUGAGAUUCCCUAAGUAGCGGCGAGCGAAAGGGGAAGAGCCCAAACCAUGAAACUUCGGUUUUGUGGGGUUGAGGACCGGCAAAAAGAGGAAACUUCUUAGUCGAAUGGUUUGGAAAGGCCAUGCACAGAAGGUAAAACACCUGUAGGCGAAAAGAAGUCAAUCGGGCUGGUAUCCAGAGUACUGCGAGACACGUGAAACCUUGCAGGAAGCAGGGGGGACCACCCUCCAAGGCAAAAUACUACUUGGCGACCGAUAGCGCAUAGUACCGUGAGGGAAAGGUGAAAAGAACCCCGGGAGGGGAGUGAAAUAGAACCUGAAACCGUAUGUCUACAAGCAGUCGAAGCACCUUAAGAGUGCGACGGCGUGCCUAUUGAAGAAUGAACCGGCGAGUUACAUUAUGUUGCGAGGUUAAGUGGGAGACACGGAGCCGAAGCGAAAGCGAGUCUUAAUAGGGCGACUAGUAACAUGGUGUAGACCCGAAACCGCAGUGAUCUAUCCAUGGUCAGGUUGAAGCGCAGGUAAAAAUGCGUGGAGGACCGAACCCGUGAGUGUUGAAAAACUUUGGGAUGAACCGUGGAUAGGGGUGAAAUGCCAAUCGAACGCGGAGAUAGCUGGUACUCCCCGAAAUAGCUUUAGGGCUAGCCUCAGGGAAGAUUAUAGACGGUAGAGCACUGAUCUGGCAAGGGGGCGUAAAGCCUACCGACCCUAGUCAAACUUCGAAUGGCUAUAAUUAAGACCCUGGGAGUCAGACUGCGAGUGAUAAGACCCGUAGUCAAGAGGGAAACAGCCCAGACCGCCGACUAAGGUCCCCAAUGCUGUACUAAGUGGAAAAGGAUGUAAGACUUCAUAAACAACCAGGAUGUUGGCUUAGAAGCAGCCACCAUUAAAAGAGUGCGUAAUAGCUCACUGGUCGAGAGGCCUUGCGCCGAAGAUGUCCGGGGCUCAAGUACAGAACCGAAGUCGCGGCAGGAUUAUAUAAUUCUGGGUAGGGGAGCGUUGUAUAUCCGACUGAAGGUGUACCGGAAGGAGCGCUGGAGGAUAUACAAGAGAGAAUGCCGGUAUGAGUAGCGAAAAGAACAGUGAGAAUCUGUUCCACCGAAAGCCUAAGGUUUCCUGAGCAACGCUCGUCGACUCAGGGUAAGUCGGGACCUAAGCCGAGGCAAAAAGCAUAGGCGAUGGACAACAGGUUAAUAUUCCUGUACCGCUUCAAAUCGUUUGAGCAAUGGAGUGACACAGAAGGUAGCUUGAGCACGCGAAUGGAUGUGCGUGUCGAAGGUGGUAGGUUGCAGUAUAGGCAAAUCCGUACUGUAUAAGACCGAGAACUGAUAGAUAGACGAUACUUCGGUAAAGUCAAAUUCAAGUGAGCCAUGCUGUCGAGAAAAGCUUCUAGUGAGAGAUGAGGCGCCCGUACCGAAACCGACACAGGUAGGCGGGGAGAGAAUCCUAAGGUGCGCGGGACAACCCUCGUUAAGGAACUCGGCAAAUUGUAUCCGUAACUUAGGGAUAAGGAUAGCCGGAGGAUGUGAAGGGAUUUACUUCUGGAGCGUCAGCCGGUGGCACAAGAGAGGCCCAAGCGACUGUUUAGCACAAACACAGGUGCCUGCAAAAGAGAAAUCUGACGUAUAGGUGCUGACACCUGCCCGGUGCUGGAAGGUUAAGAGGAGGGCUUAGAGGAAACUCGAAGGCUUGAAUUGAAGCCCCAGUAAACGGCGGCCGUAACUAUAACGGUCCUAAGGUAGCGAAAUUCCUUGUCGGGUAAGUUC